AUGGAGUUUGUUAAAGAGGAGAGUGAAGAGAACACGAGAGAACCAGAAACCUGGAGAAUAAAACAAGAGGAGCCAGAAACCUGGGGAAUAAAACACGAGCCAGAAACCUGGGGAAUAAAACACGAGGAGCCAGAAACCUGGGGAAUAAAACACGAGGAGCCAGAAACCCGGGGAAUAAAACACGAGGAGACAGAAACUGGGAGAAAAACCAGAAACCGAGAGAAUAAAACACGAGGAGCCAGAAACCAGAAUAAGACACGAUCCAGAAACUUGCAGAAUAAAACACGAGGAGCCGGGAGAAUAAAACACGAGGAACAAGGAGCAUGAAGAGCCUGACCCACACCCCCCUCCCCAACAAGAAGGACAUCAUCAGGGAGCAAGGCUCCGUCAGGAAGUAAUGCGCCAUUUGUGAAGAACAACAGUGCAAAGGUUCAUUUUUUAAUAAGAUCUUUUAAUGUAGAUGCAAUGUCACCCAGCACAACCCUUAUUUGCUUUUAAGCUCAUCUGCGAUUACCGUAAUUGCAUUAAUGGUGUCUCUCUGUGUCUGCAAAACAGCCUCAUUCAGCACCGGGACGCACUUGUGCUGGGGACCUCGGGAAACUCCAUAGCCCCUGCAGACUCUGCGCUGGGAGUUUCGUCACACUGGUCUCCCGCAGACUCUGCAAGAAUAAGGACUAAACCAAUUGUACACUCAAAAAAAUAAAUUGUUGAUUGAACAUGAUUUUUUUCGUAGCACCCAUUAUGCAUCUAAUCAAAUCAAGUAAACUUGCACUGCUUCGAAUAAAAAUGUAGUUACAAAUAACAAGAAUGAAUCAUUUAACAUAAGUAAACGUGUUAUAUUCUUAUUAAUCAGACAUAUUUGUAUUUUGCAAAUCAAACAAGUGGCUAGUUGACUUUUUUGAGUGUAUAAUUUAUUUUGUUUUGGGUCUCCAUUGGGGACAAAUCGGGGGAGCCUUUGCCCCCACCAGUUGCACACACACUCUGUCGGUGAGAGGCAAGCCGUUUCUUUGCUCCCACCCUAAGAUCGGACCACUUCUUUUUUACAUCUGGAACCGUCCUGUUUGCCGAAGCAACUGCGUUUACCGCAGCAGUGAUGUGUUGCCACUCUAAAUAUUUUUUUUUUAUUGGUAAUUCCACUGCUGUGGCCACCAAACAAAAUAGCCUUCCUUUCAUCCACCUCACUCACAAGAACCUCUAUUUCUGCCUCAGAGAAAUUUCGGUUCUUGCCGUUGCUCUCCAUUGCUGCCAUGAUUUUGUUUUUAAAAAACACAAAUUUCCUUGCUCCUUUUAAUAUGCAUGGCCAAUGAGGUAAUUUGCAUUGUCUAUAAAUGGUUGAAUGUGGGCGGAUAAAGGGCUGUAAAUGAUUUUUUUUUUGCAUGCACAAAUUAUCAGGUAGGCUGUGAUUUAUAAAGUGGAAAUUGCGUGCAGGUGUGCUUUUUGGCUUUUGUGCGUACGCACAGUUUUAUAAAUGAGGCCCCUGGACUGCAGCCUGGCCAUUUCAGUACCCAGAUCCUUCUUCUAGGUUGUAAUUACAACAUAAGUUCAGACACAGCUGGAUGCAUUGCGGUAAUAAGAAUUUCAGAAGAAAAUGCAAUAAAAUGCAUAAAUAAUUCAUUCCUAUGUUGAAAUUACUCUUUGAGUAAGGUAGCGAACAGUACUGUCUUUAUUAUGAUCUUUUUAUAUAUUAUUAAAUUGCAUGUUUAAUAUUUAAACAGGUUCAUGAGAAUAUUCAACAUGUUCGUGACAAUGACCCGAUCUGUGAUGUGUAAUUAUUCGAGUUCAUACAUAUUGUAUUUGUCUCAAUGUUUUGUGUGUGUGUGUGUGUGUGUGAGAGAAUCAGUGACCAAACUAAACCUGGUUUCUCCCAAUGAUAUGAAUGUAAUAUGUUAUUUUUAAAUUGUUAAAUUAAAGAAAGUGAUCAAAGAACAAACCUUGUUUGCUGGAGCUGUCAGUGUGUGUUUAUUUUACAAACUGAUAUCACCAUCUAUUAACCUGUCAGUAUAAUGCAGUGUUUUUAGUUAUUUUUUUUGUACUGUGUUAAAAUAGGUGUUAUUUUAAAUUUACCAUUUUAUUUUG
Molecule: long non-coding RNA, 2076 nt
Organism: Carassius auratus (goldfish)
Lineage: Eukaryota; Metazoa; Chordata; Actinopteri; Cypriniformes; Cyprinidae
Source: Ensembl